This 102-nucleotide Y RNA is filed under the name Saimiri boliviensis boliviensis (Bolivian squirrel monkey). RNAcentral describes it as "Y RNA (ENSSBOG00000007506.1)". It matches the Rfam family "Y RNA". From Rfam's summary of the family: Y RNAs are components of the Ro ribonucleoprotein particle (Ro RNP), in association with Ro60 and La proteins. The Y RNAs and Ro60 and La proteins are well conserved, but the function of the Ro RNP is not known. In humans the RNA component can be one of four small RNAs -- hY1, hY3, hY4 and hY5. The record is from Rfam by way of RNAcentral. Lineage: Eukaryota; Metazoa; Chordata; Mammalia; Primates; Cebidae.
GGCUGGUUUGAGUGCAGUGGUGUUUACAACUAAUUGAUCACAACCAGUUGGAGAUUUCCUUCUUCCAUCUUCACUCCCAGUCCUUCAGUUGACUAGCCUUAA